GAGCCCAUAAUCUCGCGAAGCGCGCUGCUGAGGACUCGUAAUCCGUUGGUUCCAGGUUCAAGUCCUGGUGGGCCCACCA
This 79-nucleotide transfer RNA is filed under the name Nevskiales bacterium. RNAcentral's name for it is "tRNA-Thr". The record is from RNAcentral. Lineage: Bacteria; Pseudomonadati; Pseudomonadota; Gammaproteobacteria; Nevskiales.